ACAGAGGCUCUUUUCAGAGCCUCUGUAUAUUCGUAUUAAAAAGAGU
Non-coding RNA from Photobacterium marinum, 46 nucleotides. NCBI's taxonomy places the organism in Bacteria, Pseudomonadati, Pseudomonadota, Gammaproteobacteria, Vibrionales, Vibrionaceae. The record is from Rfam.